This 102-nucleotide non-coding RNA is filed under the name Staphylococcus sp. RNAcentral describes it as "TPP sequence". It matches the Rfam family "TPP riboswitch aptamer (THI element)". Rfam says of the family: Vitamin B(1) in its active form thiamin pyrophosphate (TPP) is an essential coenzyme that is synthesised by coupling of pyrimidine and thiazole moieties in bacteria. The previously detected thiamin-regulatory element, thi box was extended, resulting in a new, highly conserved RNA secondary structure, the THI element, which is widely distributed in eubacteria and also occurs in some archaea. Analysis of operon structures identified a large number of new candidate thiamin-regulated genes, mostly transporters, in various prokaryotic organisms. Lineage: Bacteria; Bacillati; Bacillota; Bacilli; Caryophanales; Staphylococcaceae. The record is from RNAcentral.
CAUAUUCACUAGGGGUGCGAUUGAUUGCUGAGAGAAAGUACUUACUUUCAACCCUUAAACCUGUUGGUUAGUACCAUCGUAGGAAAGUGACUUACAUAUUAC